CUCAUCGCAUCCUGGGGCUGUAGUCGGUCCCAAGGGUUGGGCUGUUCGCCCAUUAAAGCGGUACGCGAGCUGGGUUCAGAACGUCGUGAGACAGUUCGGUCCCUAUCCGUCGUGGGCGUAGGAAAUUUGAGAGGAGCUGUCCUUAGUACGAGAGGACCGGGAUGGACACACCGCUGGUGUACCAGUUGUCUUGCCAAAGGCAUCGCUGGGUAGCUAUGUGUGGACGGGAUAAGUGCUGAAAGCAUCUAAGCAUGAAGCCCCCCUCAAGAUGAGAUUUCCCAUAGCGCAAGCUAGUAAGGUCCCUGAAAGAUGAUCAGGUUGAUAGGUCAGAGGUGGAAGCGUGGCGACAUGUGUAGCUGACUGAUACUAAUCGAUCGAGGACUUAACCAAAUU
This 393-nucleotide ribosomal RNA is filed under the name Priestia megaterium. RNAcentral's name for it is "bacterial LSU rRNA". It matches the Rfam family "Bacterial large subunit ribosomal RNA", at positions 2536 to 2925 of the family's 2925-position model. The record is from RNAcentral. Lineage: Bacteria; Bacillati; Bacillota; Bacilli; Caryophanales; Bacillaceae.